UACGGAAGGUCCGAGCAUUAUCCGGAUUUAUUGGGUUUAAAGGGUGCGCAGGCGGGAGACUAAGUCGGUGGUGAAAUUUUGCAGCUCAACUGUAACAGUGCCAUUGAUACUGGUUUUCUUGAGUGUGGAUGAAGUAGGCGGAAUUUGUGGUGUAGCGGUGAAAUGCAUAGAUAUCACGAGGAACUCCGAUCGCGUAGGCAGCUUACUAAACCAUAACUGACGCUCAUGCACGAAGGCGUGGGGAUCAAACAGGAUUAGAUA
Molecule: ribosomal RNA, 261 nt
Filed under: uncultured prokaryote
Description: partial 16S ribosomal RNA
Rfam family: Bacterial small subunit ribosomal RNA
Source: RNAcentral